GUGCUUGCUUCAGCAACAUAUAUCUAAAAAUUGAAACGAUACAGAGGAGAUUGGCGUGCCCCUGAGCAAGGAUGACAGGCAAAUUCACGAAGCGUUCCAUGUUUUU
Molecule: small nuclear RNA, 106 nt
Organism: Ursus americanus (American black bear)
Lineage: Eukaryota; Metazoa; Chordata; Mammalia; Carnivora; Ursidae
Source: Ensembl